UUUACUCAUCUCAUUACCUCUACUUCCCCUCGCCUUGGUUUCCCACCUUCUGGGAGCACAGAAGCAGCUCCAAACGCAUUUGCAGAUUUUGUACCUCCCACGGUAAAGCCCUUGCUGAAAGCCUGACUCGGUGCUGUCACCGAGGCCCAGGUCCUGGAACCACCAUGGGACUUGCGUCAUUUACCUUCCUGUAAUCCUAGUGAGGAGCAGCGAGCCUGAGGCCAAGCCAUUUUCUGUGAUCCCUUUUCUGCUCUUCUCCCGGCUCCUGACCCAGCUGGACUCAUCAGUGGGCUCCUCUGACUUUUGGCUUCCCGCCAGGUUGGGCAGGACAUCUGGAGGAGGCCCGAAGGCUGAGCUCAGGUACGAAUCGCCCGAUCCAUGCCUGGUCUUUCUCUGCCAAAUGUGGCCUCUCGUUCUUAGCUCUGGUGGCAGCCCCCUCCCCACUGCCCUUCUGGCCUCGGUGGGUGGCUGUUACUAGCUCUAGGAUAUCACACUAUGCCGUGUUGGUUUUCCUCACUCCGCCCUUGCCUUUAUAAAUAACUCCUUGAUUAAACUCUCCAA
This is a long non-coding RNA of Leptonychotes weddellii (Weddell seal), 561 nucleotides long. RefSeq lists it as uncharacterized. The record is from RefSeq and is a predicted model, not a curated record. NCBI's taxonomy places the organism in Eukaryota, Metazoa, Chordata, Mammalia, Carnivora, Phocidae.